This 433-nucleotide ribosomal RNA is filed under the name uncultured bacterium. RNAcentral's name for it is "partial 16S ribosomal RNA". It matches the Rfam family "Bacterial small subunit ribosomal RNA", at positions 29 to 507 of the family's 1533-position model. The record is from RNAcentral.
AACGAACGCUGGCGGCAUGCCUAACACAUGCAAGUCGAACGAGACCUUCGGGUCUAGUGGCGCACGGGUGCGUAACGCGUGGGAAUCUGCCCUUGGGUUCGGAAUAACAGUUAGAAAUGACUGCUAAUACCGGAUGAUGUCUUCGGACCAAAGAUUUAUCGCCCAGGGAUGAGCCCGCGUAGGAUUAGCUUGUUGGUGGGGUAAAGGCCUACCAAGGCGACGAUCCUUAGCUGGUCUGAGAGGAUGAUCAGCCACACUGGGACUGAGACACGGCCCAGACUCCUACGGGAGGCAGCAGUGGGGAAUAUUGGACAAUGGGCGAAAGCCUGAUCCAGCAAUGCCGCGUGAGUGAUGAAGGCCUUAGGGUUAUAAAGCUCUUUUACCCGGGAUGAUAAUGACAGUACCGGGAGAAUAAGCCCCGGCUAACUCCGUG